GAUGAACGCUGGCGGCGUGCCUAAUACAUGCAAGUCGAGCGAACAGACGAGGAGCUUGCUCCUCUGACGUUAGCGGCGGACGGGUGAGUAACACGUGGAUAACCUACCUAUAAGACUGGGAUAACUUCGGGAAACCGGAGCUAAUACCGGAUAAUAUAUUGAACAGCAUGGUUCAAUAGUGAAAGACGGUUUUGCUGUCACUUAUAGAUGGAUCCGCGCCGCAUUAGCUAGUUGGUAAGGUAACGGCUUACAAAGGCAACGAUGCGUAGCCGACCUGAGAGGGUGAUCGGCCACACUGGAACUGAGACACGGUCCAGACUCCUACGGGAGGCAGCAGUAGGGAAUCUUCCGCAAUGGGCGAAAGCUUGACGGAGCAACGCCGCGUGAGUGAUGAAGGUCUUCGGAUCGUAAAACUCUGUUAUUAGGGAAGAACAAAUGUGUAAGUAACUAUGCACGUCUUGACGGUACCUAAUCAGAAAGCCACGGCUAACUACGUG
RNAcentral lists this ribosomal RNA (497 nucleotides) under uncultured bacterium. RNAcentral describes it as "partial 16S ribosomal RNA". It matches the Rfam family "Bacterial small subunit ribosomal RNA", at positions 28 to 507 of the family's 1533-position model. The record is from RNAcentral.